CAGCCGUAAACUAUGCGCGUUAGGUGUACUGGUGACCACGAGUCACCGGGGUGCCGAAGGGAAACCGUGAAACGUGCCGCCUGGGAAGUACGGUCGCAAGGCUGAAACUUAAAGAAAUUGGCGGGGGAGCACCACAACGGGUGGAGCCUGCGGUUUAAUUGGACUCAACGCCGGAAAUCUCACCGGAUAGGACAGACAUAUGAUAGUCGGGCUGAAGACUCUACUUGAUGAUCUGAGAGGUGGUGCAUGGCGUCAGUGACU
This 261-nucleotide ribosomal RNA is filed under the name uncultured archaeon. RNAcentral describes it as "partial 16S ribosomal RNA". It matches the Rfam family "Archaeal small subunit ribosomal RNA", at positions 748 to 1008 of the family's 1478-position model. The record is from RNAcentral.